UGGGGAUUAGUCUAGCGGUAGGACAGCGGACUCUGAAUCCGUGAGGGGAGGUUCGAAUCCUCCAUCCCCAGCCA
Molecule: transfer RNA, 74 nt
Filed under: Dehalococcoidales bacterium
Lineage: Bacteria; Bacillati; Chloroflexota; Dehalococcoidia; Dehalococcoidales
Also listed under: 1 other name
Description: tRNA-Gln
Rfam family: tRNA
About the family: Transfer RNA (tRNA) molecules are approximately 80 nucleotides in length. Their secondary structure includes four short double-helical elements and three loops (D, anti-codon, and T loops).
Source: RNAcentral